RNAcentral lists this ribosomal RNA (483 nucleotides) under uncultured bacterium. RNAcentral describes it as "partial 16S ribosomal RNA". It matches the Rfam family "Bacterial small subunit ribosomal RNA", at positions 29 to 507 of the family's 1533-position model. The record is from RNAcentral.
AGUGAACGCUGGCGGCAGGCCUAACACAUGCAAGUCGAGCGGCAGCGCGGGGGCAACCCUGGCGGCGAGCGGCGGACGGGUGAGGAAUUCGUCGGAAUCUGCCUUUUUGUGGGGGAUAACGUAGGGAAACUUACGCUAAUACCGCAUACGUCCUACGGGAGAAAGUGGGGGACCGCAAGGCCUCACGCAGAAAGAUGAGCCGACGACCGAUUAGCUAGUUGGUGGGUAAAGGCCCACCAAGGCGACGAUCGGUAGCUGGUCUGAGAGGAUGAUCAGCCACACUGGGACUGAGACACGGCCCAGACUCCUACGGGAGGCAGCAGUGGGGAAUAUUGGACAAUGGGCGCAAGCCUGAUCCAGCCAUGCCGCGUGUGUGAAGAAGGCCUUCGGGUUGUAAAGCACUUUUGUCCGGAAAGAAAUCCCUGGAGCUAAUACCUUCGGGGGAUGACGGUACCGGAAGAAUAAGCACCGGCUAACUUCGUG